CUCAACGCAGAAAUUCCUGAGUGGAUUGAAAGAAAAAAUAUCUGUGUCGUACGUUUGGAUAAACGUAAGAGACAGAAAUCCCUCAAACCUGUUGCGUCUGAAAAAGUGGCGAAAUAACAUUUUUACGCCCAAAACAAAAUUGGACGUAACAUGUCACAAGGGUAACGAGGGGUUUUUUGAUGUGAAAUAUCUAUAGGCGCACUCCUAAACCGAAUCGUUGGCGUGGCGAUACUUGCUGUGGCGAGCAAUCGAGCUAUACUAAGUGAUAACUCAGAAGAUCAAAGUGAUCAACCUUGUGCAAAGAAAGUGAAACUACACUAUGGUAAACUACCAAGUCAUCAUUCCCAACAAUCAUCGCAGGGAUCACAACAUAUUCUUAUUAAAACUGGACGCCACCCUGAUCAUUCAAACACAAGGCAUACUAUCAAUCUUGUGUAAGACUUUAUUAAUCGAAUAGUACCAGACUAUUUUAAUUUUUA
This is a long non-coding RNA of Diachasmimorpha longicaudata, 479 nucleotides long. RefSeq lists it as uncharacterized. The transcript has 3 exons. The record is from RefSeq and is a predicted model, not a curated record. Lineage: Eukaryota; Metazoa; Arthropoda; Insecta; Hymenoptera; Braconidae.